GACGAACGCUGGCGGCGUGCCUAAUACAUGCAAGUCGAACGCACGAAGUUGAAGAGCUUGCUCUUUAACCAAGUGAGUGGCGGACGGGUGAGUAACACGUGGGUAACCUGCCCAUUAGAGGGGGAUAACAUUCGGAAACGGAUGCUAAUACCGCAUAGUUUCAGGGAUCGCAUGAUUCUUGAAGGAAAGGUGGCUCCGGCUACCACUAAUGGAUGGACCCGCGGCGUAUUAGCUAGUUGGUGAGGUAAUGGCUCGCCAAGGCAAUGAUACGUAGCCGACCUGAGAGGGUGAUCGGCCACACUGGGACUGAGACACGGCCCAGACUCCUACGGGAGGCAGCAGUAGGGAAUCUUCCGCAAUGGACGAAAGUCUGACGGAGCAACGCCGCGUGAGUGAAGAAGGUUUUCGGAUCGUAAAGCUCUGUUGUUAAAGAAGAACAAGGAUGAGAGUAACUGCUCAUCCCCUGACGGUAUUUAACCAGAAAGCCACGGCUAACUACGUGCCAGCAGCCGCGGUAAUACGUAGGUGGCAAGCGUUGUCCGGAUUUAUUGGGCGUAAAGCGAGCGCAGGCGGUUCUUUAAGUCUGAUGUGAAAGCCCCCGGCUCAACCGGGGAGGGUCAUUGGAAACUGGAGAACUUGAGUGCAGAAGAGGAGAGUGGAAUUCCACGUGUAGCGGUGAAAUGCGUAGAUAUGUGGAGGAACACCAGUGGCGAAGGCGACUCUCUGGUCUGUAACUGACGCUGAGGCUCGAAAGCGUGGGGAGCAAACAGG
This 771-nucleotide ribosomal RNA is filed under the name uncultured Vagococcus sp. RNAcentral describes it as "bacterial SSU rRNA". It matches the Rfam family "Bacterial small subunit ribosomal RNA", at positions 28 to 776 of the family's 1533-position model. The record is from RNAcentral. Lineage: Bacteria; Bacillati; Bacillota; Bacilli; Lactobacillales; Enterococcaceae.